CCCCGCGGCUGUCGCUGACGGCCACCGGCUGCGCUGGACUGAGAGGCGCCCUGAGUGAGGAAGGGAAGCGUAGGGCGCCCUGGGAAGGGUAGCGGCCUGAAGAAGCUCAGAUCACCUCUGACAUGGGCUCCUUGGAUGUUGUCUGCAUCUCCUGGAGAUAGGAGCUGCCCGAGAUCAGAGGAUGGAGCCUCCAUGCCAACGGCUACCCUGGGGGCAAGAUGCCUCCCCCUCACCCUUUCCUGGGACCUCGCCGAGGAUCUGGCCACUUAGGACUUUGGGAACGGAGGCAGGUGGACAGGAAGGCACCCAGGAGAGCAUCCCAAGCCAACUGUGUGAGGAGCAGAGUCCUGUCUUCAGGUGGGGAUGUGCCUGCUUCAAGGGCAUGAGGCGGGGCAAGUUCAUCCUUAUUCAUCCAGAGAAUCCUGGGCAUAAAGGGGACUCAAGAAGCUGUCAAGUCCGUUCCCCUGUCUCUGAGGUCUGGGCUUCCUGGAGCUGGCCCGGUGGAGCUCUCAGAGGCCAGGGCCCUGCCUGAACCAUCCCUAGAUCCUGCUGCAGGGCCUAGCUUGAAGCCUGGGAACAGACCCAGCACCAGGAUUAAAAGGCAUCAGGUCCCAGGAUGGACACACCUCUCCCCGCUCUUUCCGCAACAGAGACAGGAAGGUGGUAUUGGCAAACUUCUCCCAAAGACGUGGUGGCUCACCCAGGAGAGCAGCCCCGGGCAGGCGGGGUCCCAGGCCUGGAGAGGUCUGUAGAGGUUGGCAGGACCAGGGAUUCCCAAACGCGUCAAGCAGCAGAAGCCUCAUAGAAGAUCAAAGUCCGCUUGGAAGUCUCGUGCGGAAGUGGCAUUGUACCACCAGACCGUGUGUGCGUUUAAAAACAGUGCUUCCCAAUUACCGCAGAAGAUGAACUACGAGGCAGGUUUAAAACUGUCAAAGCAGUUUAGAUUUCUAAGCCACAAGUGAUAAAAUAUUUAAAUGUGUUUGGUAAGUUCGAACAUAGAACAUUUACUUGUUGUAAAGGCACCGUGAUGACAGCCCUGAGGCGGCUUUUAUGAACACAAACACAAAAAGCAAAGUUGUAAUCAUUUAAGUCUCAGCAUCCAAUUUAUUUCUGUGUUACCUUUGCUUGCUCAGGUUUGAGAAGAAUCUGGGUUUGCAAGGAUAAGUGGCUUAAAGAGCUCACCUGGAAAUCUCAGGGUACUCUUAGAUUCAAGAAUUUGAUUCAUUCAUCCACCCAACAAAUAGUUAUUGAGUGUCUAGUAGGUGUCAGGCAUUCUGCUGAGGUUUGAACAAUAAGGAGGACUAUUUGUUUCAGUCUAAGUUACUAAGAUAACAAUUAUUCCCUUCGUCAUUGUGAGUGUAAGUCAAAUGAAAAGAUUCAAGCUUAUAAUAAGCACCACUUCUCUCUGUAGUAUCCUAUUAUGAUAUUGCAACAGGCGUGUGCAACUGCUUAACAGAGAGGCUCAUGC
RNAcentral lists this long non-coding RNA (1468 nucleotides) under Equus caballus (horse). Its description in RNAcentral is "lncRNA (ENSECAG00000029442.3)". The record is from RNAcentral. Lineage: Eukaryota; Metazoa; Chordata; Mammalia; Perissodactyla; Equidae.